RNAcentral lists this ribosomal RNA (683 nucleotides) under Vibrio sp. 4.5.0412DS1. Its description in RNAcentral is "bacterial SSU rRNA". It matches the Rfam family "Bacterial small subunit ribosomal RNA", at positions 56 to 719 of the family's 1533-position model. The record is from RNAcentral. Lineage: Bacteria; Pseudomonadati; Pseudomonadota; Gammaproteobacteria; Vibrionales; Vibrionaceae.
UGCAGUCGAGCGGAAACGAGUUAUCUGAACCUUCGGGGAACGAUAACGGCGUCGAGCGGCGGACGGGUGAGUAAUGCCUGGGAAAUUGCCCUGAUGUGGGGGAUAACCAUUGGAAACGAUGGCUAAUACCGCAUAAUAGCUUCGGCUCAAAGAGGGGGACCUUCGGGCCUCUCGCGUCAGGAUAUGCCCAGGUGGGAUUAGCUAGUUGGUGAGGUAAGGGCUCACCAAGGCGACGAUCCCUAGCUGGUCUGAGAGGAUGAUCAGCCACACUGGAACUGAGACACGGUCCAGACUCCUACGGGAGGCAGCAGUGGGGAAUAUUGCACAAUGGGCGCAAGCCUGAUGCAGCCAUGCCGCGUGUAUGAAGAAGGCCUUCGGGUUGUAAAGUACUUUCAGCAGUGAGGAAGGUGGUGUACUUAAUACGUGCAUCAUUUGACGUUAGCUGCAGAAGAAGCACCGGCUAACUCCGUGCCAGCAGCCGCGGUAAUACGGAGGGUGCGAGCGUUAAUCGGAAUUACUGGGCGUAAAGCGCAUGCAGGUGGUUUGUUAAGUCAGAUGUGAAAGCCCGGGGCUCAACCUCGGAAUUGCAUUUGAAACUGACAGACUAGAGUACUGUAGAGGGGGGUAGAAUUUCAGGUGUAGCGGUGAAAUGCGUAGAGAUCUGAAGGAAUACCGGUGGCGAA